RNAcentral lists this ribosomal RNA (227 nucleotides) under uncultured bacterium. RNAcentral describes it as "partial 16S ribosomal RNA". It matches the Rfam family "Bacterial small subunit ribosomal RNA", at positions 107 to 334 of the family's 1533-position model. The record is from RNAcentral.
UGAGUAACACGUAUCCAACCUGCCGUCUACUCUUGGACAGCCUUCUGAAAGGAAGAUUAAUACAAGAUGGCAUCAUGAGUCCACAUGUUCACAUGAUUAAAGGUAUUCCGGUAGACGAUAGGCAUGCGUUCCAUUAGGCAGUUGGCGGGGUAACGGCCCACCAAACCGACGAUGGAUAGGGGUUCUGAGAGGAAGGUCCCCCACAUUGGAACUGAGACACGGUCCAA